This 76-nucleotide transfer RNA is filed under the name bacterium. RNAcentral describes it as "tRNA-Asp". It matches the Rfam family "tRNA". Rfam says of the family: Transfer RNA (tRNA) molecules are approximately 80 nucleotides in length. Their secondary structure includes four short double-helical elements and three loops (D, anti-codon, and T loops). RNAcentral also lists the same sequence under 1 other name. The record is from RNAcentral.
GGAGGCGUAGUGUAGCGGUUAACAUGCCUGCCUGUCACGCAGGAGAUCGUGGGUUCGAAUCCCAUCGUCUCCGCCA